Molecule: ribosomal RNA, 433 nt
Filed under: uncultured bacterium
Lineage: Bacteria
Description: partial 16S ribosomal RNA
Rfam family: Bacterial small subunit ribosomal RNA
Source: RNAcentral
AACGAACGCUGGCGGCAUGCCUAACACAUGCAAGUCGAACGAGACCUUCGGGUCUAGUGGCGCACGGGUUCGUAACGCGUGGGAACCUUCCCUUAGGUUCGGAAUAACUCCCCGAAAGGGGUGCUAAUACCGGAUAAUGUCUUCGGACCAAAGAUUUAUCGCCUUUGGAUGGGCCCGAGUUGGAUUAGCUGGUUGGUAUGGUAAAAGCCUACCAAGGCGACGAUCCAUAGCUGGUCUGAGAGGCUGAUCAGCGACACUGGGACUGAGACACGGCCCAGACUCCUACGGGAGGCAGCAGUGGGGAAUAUUGGACAAUGGGCGAAAGCCUGAUGCAGCAAUGCCGCGUGAGUGAUGAAGGCCUUAGGGUUGUAAAGCUCUUUUACCCGGGAUGAUAAUGACAGUACCGGGAGAAUAAGCCCCGGCUAACUCCGUG